UGCAACUACCUUGUAAUCUCCGACAAACUCUGAAAAUGUUGAGGACCCUCAUUCUGCCACUCGGGCACCUAGAUCUGCACACAAGGUGCAAGGAGUAAUGUGAGUAUGCCAACUCAGUAAGUAACUAAAGUAAAUAAGGUCUGAAAGCAGCGACGAGCAGUUAAAAUCAUAUAAAGGAGUAAAUAACAGAAUAACAGAUCAAACUCCACAGUUUAAAAACCAGUUUCGUCAUAAAAACUUCAGUUUCAAUUGGAAAACUUGAAAUCAUUUACUUAGCAAUUUUCAACAGAGGCUUGUUUUAAAAGAAUAGUGAAAUCACUGAACCUAUCAUAAUAGGCCCCUCGGGCAAGGUAUCACUCAGAAUAUGGCCUCUCGGGCAGCCUCUCAGUCACUCGUGACUCAGCUCUCGUCACUCAGUAUUCACUCUUAGCACUCAAGCUCAUUAAUAUCUCAUAAUAGUGAUAAUCAUAGUAAUUGCUGCGACAUGCAGCCCCAUCCAUAAUUUAUAGUCGACUAUGCUCACUGGGGGUGGUGCAGACUCUGGAGGGGCUCUUACAGCCUAAGCGUCAUAUCGCUGCGGCAUGCAGCCCGAUCCAAUAUAUAUAUCGCUGCAGUGCACAACCCGAUCCAUAUAAGUAUCGCUGCGGCGUGUAACCCGAUCCAUAAUAUAUACAUAUAAUAUUGCUGCGGCGUGCAGCCCGAUUCAUAAUAUAUAUAAUCCUCACAAUUAGGUUCCAACCUCUCUUAGUCAUUAACCUUAUAGACACUCGAGUAUAACAGUAGAAAUCAGGGAACUCAGUCUGAACAGUUCUCACAUUUUAAAAAGUUUUGUGAAAAACCAGUUUUAAACAAUAAACAGGUAAAACAUGACUGAGGAUAUGCUUUCAAACAAAUAGAGUGAGGAAAAACAGUAAAAAUGCCCCUAACGGUCUCAGCAGGGCAGCACAAGGCCCCAAACAUGGCAUACAACCCAUAAUACAGUAUGAAUUUCUAAAAUACGAGAUAUCAUAAGAUUUCAAAUUACGCGGCUUAAUAGUCGUUAUGGGACGGACCAAGUCACAAUCCCUACCGGUGCACGCCCACACGCUCGUCACCUGGCAUGUGCGUCACCCCAUUUAUCAAAACAAUUCAAAAUAUCGAGGUUUUGUACCAUCAGUUCCAGAUUUACUAUGGUUACUUACCUCAAAAUGGAAGAAAUACUACUCCGCGAUGCCCUUGCCUCUCGCCUCAGCCUCGACUCGCGCUGAAUCUACCCAAAAUCAGAAUCAUAACAUUAGAAUAUUCUAAAAGGACGAAGCCCAUGCGAAAUUAAUCAAAUUAUACCUAAAAUCCCGAAAUUGGCCAAACCCAAUCCCCGGCCCACGUUUCGAAAUUCGAUAAAAGUCACAUCAACGGAAUCCUUGUCCUCCCACGAGUUCAUACAUACCAAGAGUACCAAAAUUCGACCACAAAUGGCCCCUCAAAUCCCCAAGUCAAGGUCUCCAAUACAAAGCCCUAAUCCCUCAAUUUUCUUCCUUAAUUUCCACUAAUACCAUGAUUAAAAGAUAGAAAAAUGAUCAUAAACUCAAGCAAUGAAGCUUAGUGAACUUACAUAACUGAUAUUCAUCGAUUUCCCCUUGAAAUCCACUGCCUUAGCCCCUUUCCCGUUUUCAAAAAUGGAGAACUUAGCAAAAAUUCGCGAAGGAAACAUUAUAUACCUUCUGGCCCAGGGAAUCCGCACCCGCGGUCCUUUAACCGCUUCUGCGGUCUUGACCACCGCACCUGCGGUUUCCAUUUAAAUGACCAAAAGUCACAUCUGUGAUCAAUUAACCGCACCUGCGCCAUCGCAGGUGCGCUCAGUAUACCGCAUAUGCGUCUCCUUCCCCUCGCAUCCUUGACCGCAUCUGUGGCCAUUUCUUUGCAUCUACGGUGUCGCACCUUUGGUCCCCAAUCCGCAGAUGCGGAAACAACAGAAGCAGAAAAAUUCUAUAGCUUCCCAAAAAUUCCAACUCUCCGUCAACCAUCCGAAAACACCCUGAGGCCCCCGGGACCUCAACCAAAAUCACAAACACAUCAUAUACCCCCACUCCAACUAGUACCAAUCUUCCAAGCACCUCAAAAAACAUCGAAUCAAUCAAAACACAUCGGAUUCAAGCCUAAGUUUUCUAAAAUCUUCCGAAUUAUGCUUUUGAUAAAAAUGUUUACCAAACCACGUUCGAAUGACCUAAAAUUUUGCACACACACAUCCCAAUUGACCCACAAAACUACUGCAACUCCCGGAAUUCCAUUCUGACCCCUAUAUCAAAAUCUCACCUAUCAACCGGAAAAUGCCAAAAUUCCAAUUUCGCCAAUUCAAGCCUAAAUCUACUCUGGACCUCCAAAACACAUUCUGAUCACGUUCAUAAGUCCCAAAUCAUUUUCCCAAGCUAUUUGAACCAUCAGAACUCACAUCAGAGCCUUCUAACACAUAAGUCAACAUCCGCUUGACUUUUUCCAACUUAAGCUUCCUCAAAAGAGACUAAGUGUCUCAAACCUUGCCAAAACCUCUCCGAACCCGAACCGAUCAACUUGAUGACAUGAAAUACAACUGAACAAAUAAAUAAGAAGUAGAAAUAGGUGAAACGGAGCAGUAACUCAUGAGAUGACUGGCCGGGUCGUCACACAUAGAGAUGCAUUUCCUUCUGCUACCUAAUUUUUGGGUGACAUUUCAUGAUUUCACCUAUAUAUUGACAUGUAGGCAUAGAGAUGUAUUUUUCCUUAUGAUAUUUGAAAAUUAAACAUAUUAUGUUUUGUUGAACAGUUUUUGGGAAAAAUCACAGUUUUCAAACUUACUCUAAUUUUUGGCGAUUUCGGUAAAAGAUUUGGGUUUUCACAGAUAUAUUUGAAAGGCAUGCCUAUUUUUUUUGGAACUGUGAACAACCUAAGCAUUUUAUCUCUGAGUUAAUUCUUUUAUUACUUUCAUUAUGUUGCUAUGAGCCAUUGUUGGCUAUUUGUGUUGUACUCGACCUAUAUUCCAACUCAUCACUAUUUUCAACAUAAUGUUAGGUUUGUUACUUAUUGAGUACAUGAGGUUGGUUGUACUCAUACUACACUUCUGCACCUUGCGUGCAGAUGUUGGAUGCUGAUAUUGCUGUUUAUGGCGAGAGCUGGAUUUGAAGAUGUACCUGCAUUCCGGUUGUUGCUGCCUCUUAUUCAUGGUACCCUUAGAAUAAUAGAAACUAUUUAUGUACAAAUGAUGUAAUUAUUUCAUACUAGAUUUGUAAAUUCUAAUCUUAGAAGCUCAUAAUUUGUACUACCAGUCCUUGGGAAUUCCUUGUGUAAAAGAAAUUUUAUUAUCAUUUCUUCUCUUAAUAAGUAUCAUUUGAAUUGGUUUUAUUGUUAACUCGCUUACCUAGCAGGUUGGGUUAGGUGUCAUCACGACCAGUUGGAUUUUGGGUCGUGACAAGUUGGUAUAAGAGCUCUAGGUUCAUAGGUUGUACAAGUCAUGAGCAAGUGUCUAGUAGACUCUUGCGAAUUGGUAUGAUGUCGUCCAUACCUAUCUUCAAGAGGCUACAGGGCAUUUAGGAUAUGCAUCCCAUAUUUCUUUACUUAUCGUGCGACAUUGAUUCAACUUGAAGCAUAACUCUUUGAAUUCCUUCCAUGCAUUUGUAUGCGCAUGUGAGCGAUUGGUGUCAGCUGUGUAUCAUCGGCUUGUGAUUCCAUGGAUGAGGUGCGAGAUGUGAUUUCGGUAUGGUGAUAGCGGUCCAAUCUGGAGAACUUAAGGACGCGUUUUGACUGUAACUUGAGCAUGAAGAUUUUGGUUGUAUGAGCACGUGUUUUUGGACUUAUAAGUCUGGUAGUAUCCCUAUUAGUGGAAUUUAUGUCUCUAUGAGCGGUUGGAUGGAUAUAUAAGUAUGAUGUGACUACAAGAAGUGUUAAGAUUGUUCGAAUGUGACGAGAAGAGUUUUCUUGAGAUGUAAAAAGGACUAUUGGGUGCUUUAUUUCUAUCUUGAUUUGACGUAUAGUCUCGAGUUAUAGGUGUGUUGAAUGAUCUUUCAUGUUGUUUAAUUAUGGAGUGAAGUAGAUUUUCAUGUCGUGUUAUGAGUUCAAACUUAGGAAGAUUAAGUGAUGGCGUAGUAGUUGUGGAUGUGGAAGGCUGUAGAGAAAUGUCAGUUUGAGGCAAAGCAUGUGGGUUAUCUCCUGUGGGGUGUCAUGAGGUUGUGUGAUCCCUAUGUUAUUUUUGUAGGUGGAGGGGUCAACCAGUGAAGUAAGCGACUUGGGAGGCCGAGGACAUGAGGAGAAAAUAUCUGCACUGUUGGCGCAAGCAAAUGUUUGUUUUAAAGAUUGACAAAUGAAGCUCAAACAUGAACUAGGUCCAUCCCUUUUGUGCAUAGACAUGGGCUGGUUCAAGCAUGUGGGAUGUACGUGAAGGAGAUAAGCUUAACUGUGUAUAAUUGAUAUCUCCUGAUUGAAAAGGUUUCAUAAGUGAUAAGGAGAAGGACUCCUUGAUCCAAGAGAACACUACUAGAUAAAGGGAGGAGUUAGAAAUUGAGAUCAACUAGAACUCUUCCACCAAGGAAGAGUAGCAUUAGAACUCUAGUUAUUACUUAAUCUACUAACUCUAUAUAUUGCAGGAUGUUCUCAUUUUACAAGUAUGCACAAACGCAGAAGUUAAACGUGAAUUAAGAGCAAAAUAGCAAGGAAUUUUGCAAGCAGUUCGUGUGUAAUUCAAGUGUGCAAAACUGAAACUACAUGAAUCAGAUAGAAAAACUAGUUCCAAGAGUUUGUCUUUUAUUCUAGUUCAAUUGUAAUAGGUGUUUUCAUAUUGUACCUUUCAGCUUUAUCUAGAGGCGAUUGUAAUAGGUACUCAGAGUAUUCAAGUUAGAGUUAACUUGAAGUUUUUGCAAUAGUUAGAGGUUGUUUGCCCCAACGAGAUUAGAGUUAAUUCUAGGUUUACAAAAGUGUUUUGUAAUGUAGUUUUCGGCUCAGUGAUUUAGUGUAGAGUUUGGGGAAAUCCUACUGAGAAGUAGGUCGUGGUUUUUUCACCUUUUGAGCCAUGUGUUUUCCACGUAAUACUUGUGUUCUUUACUUUCUGCAUUUACUAUUGCAAUAAUAGUAGAUUAAGGAACACUUAGAUAGAACCAGGUCCUUCAAUAAUCAGUUUAAGCGAAAAAUUGGACACCACACAAAUCACCCCCUCUUGUGUGGUAUUGAAGUUAAAUCAUCAAUUGGUAUCAAAGCAGGUUAUCCUUGAAGAGGCUAACACCUUAAGAGAAGAUCAAGAUGUGUGCACCACCUAGAAGUUGGGAAGGACAAUCAACUGCUAGGCCACCACCCUUCAAUGUACAUUACUACUCUUGGUGAAAAAACAAAAUGAGAGACCACAUCAUAGGAGAGGACUAUGAGCUAUAGGACAUUGUCACUGAUGGUUCCCUGGCUACCAUGAAGAAAAAUGCUGAAGGAGUAGAUGUGCCAAAAACAAGAGCUGACUGCAAGCUGAGGACUUGACGAAAUGGGAGAAGAAUGCUAAGGCCAAGAAUGGCCUGUGUGUGGACUUGGUCCAGACGAGUACAAUAGAAUUCAAAGCUGUACCACUGCUAUGGAAAUUUAGACACUUUGCAAGUGGCUCAUGAAGGAACGCCUCAAGUGAAGAGGUCUAGAUGAACACUACUAUAUUCUCAAUAUGAGAAUUUUACCAUGAAGGAAGGGGAAACCAUCCAAGAGAUGUAUACUAGGUUCACCACACUAACAAAUGAACUUAAGUUUCUUGGAAGAAUCAUUUCCGAAGAAGAUAGUGUUGAGAAGAUUUUGUCAAGGGUUCUGCCAGUCACUUGGGAGAGCAAAAUCAUUGCCAUUCAGGAAUCAAAGAACAUUGUCACUCUUAAAUUGGAUGAGUUAAUUGGAAAUCUCACUGCUUAUGAACUUAUAAGGCCAACCAUGAUGAUGGAUGUACCCAAGAAGGAAAAGAGCGAAGCACUCAAAAUCACUGAAGGUUAUGAACUAGAAGAUGAUGAAAUGGCAAUGAUCACAAAGGAUUUCAAAAAGUACCUAAUGAGAGGAAAGGGUACUUCAAGAAGUGGAAGCUAUAUCAAACCAAGUGUUCCUGAAAAAUAGACCCUCAUUGCUACAAGUGUGGGAAGACUGAUCACCACAUCAAAAACUGCCCUCAAUGGGAAAUUGAAUGGAAGAAGGAAAGAGCUGAAUGAAGAAACAGGAAGAAGGAAUAGGUUCAACCCAAGAGGAAUAGAGGAUUAUUAAAGGCUAUGGUUGCUGCUUGGGGAGAAAGCUCAGAUGAUGAAUAUGGAGAUGAACAAGCACUUCUGGCCAUUGGAGAAUCUGAUGAGGAACCUAAGGUAAGUGUAAUUCAUCUCAAAGACAAGAUUAAAUUUUUGUCUAAAGAAAGGCUAUCUGAAUUACUUAUAGAUUUCAUUGAUGAAUUUGGGGAUGUAAACAAUGAAAAGGAACAACUGUCUAAGGAAUGUGUGAUUUUGAAAGCAAAGUGUAAGAACUUGGAACUUAUGGUUAGUGAGACUGUAAGUGAAAAUACUGCUUUAAAGAACCAGGUUCAUGCACUUGAAUCAAAUGUCCUAGAACUUAGAUCUGAAACCUAAAACUGAAAUUAAGAACAAGUAAGAAGACAACUGAUUGCACACAACUCACUCUAGAAGAAAAUUUGGGUAAACUAAAAGAUGAGUUGUAUAAGAAGGAUGAACAUGUAAGAAUUUUGAAGGAGGAUCUAGGCAAGGUCAAGCAUGAACUAGACAGAACUUGAAAUGGAACAGGUCCUUCGAUGCACUUUUAAGGCUAUAGGAACAUCAUAGUAGAAAUAGAAGAGGAUCUGUCUUUGGGAAUCUGGCCCAUAAAUGGGAUCCCAAAAGCAAGUACCUUACACUUCCUGAGAAUAAGAAUUUUACUUUCUAUGGUAAAACAGGUUGUCACACCUCCUUUUUAUCCGAAGGGAGGGCAUAGGGUAGUUUUUUCAAUUAAAGUGACAUUAUUCGAUAUGAUAUUAUUUAUUAAAAGAUUCAUAGUCGCCACUUGGAAAAUUUAUGGCGUCCCAAGUCACUGGUUCAAAUUCCGAAUCGAGGAAAAGAUUGACUCUGUAUUACAGUCUAUAAACCAGAAAUCCGGGUAAGGAAUUCUGUUAACCCGGUAGAAGGUGUUAGGCAUUCUUGAGUUUCGUGGUUCUAGCACGGUUGCUCAACUGUUAUAAUUGGCCUAUUAUCUGACUUACUACAUGUUUUAAACCUAUUGUGCAUUUUUAACUUAUUAACCGCUUUCAAUUAUUUUGAAACGCUUUUAGAAAGAUUCAACGUUAUUUAAAACAUGCCUUGAACCACGCCACAUGAAAUGCACCCUCGAUUCACGACAUAUUUUAUUUAACGUUGUUGAGGAUUGGAGUUGGGUCACAUGAAAUGCACACCCGAGUUUAAGGAAACUAAUUUAAAAUAGUGCGACUUAAGCAACUACGCAAUUUUAAGUUAAUAACAAGGUUUGCGAGGGCCAUAAAAAAUUCAACUGAUGGCACACCUCGAUUUCUAAAGAGUUGAAAUUAAUUACAUGAGGGCCAUGGUUAUGGAAAUUAUUGUAAAAGCAAUAAGGUAAAUAACAAUCCAAAACCCAAUUUAAUCUUAAUAUCCCCCCAAGUUGAGGAUUAGAGGUUAAUACUUUAUAUUCGUUCUGUUCAAGUUUUCAAACCUUACUACUUCUUAUUUCUUAAUUUGCUCCAUUAACCUGACAAAUCGUUUCAAUAACUGAACGAAUAUAAUAUAUUAACCUCAAACAAUUAAAAUCCAAACUAAUCAGUGAGCUAAAUGAACUAAAAAUAAGGAGAAAACAUAAACAAAGCUUUAUACCCACCUACGAUAAAUUAAACACGUAAACAAACAAAGCUUUUAAAUAAGGAGAAAACAACUAAAACAAAUCUAAUAUUAACACCCACAGAAUAAAUAGAUCUAAAAUGGCUACCAAACUAGUGAAUUAAGAAGAAGAAAAUAAAUAAAUAAAAUUGAAAGUAUAAGGAUCUUCUGGAAUGAAGCUUCAAAGGCAUAGAUUAAAUAACAACAAAAAAAGAAAAUAUGGACCUUUUAUUGCUUCCAAUUCAUCAACAACCUUCUGCUAUUUACAAGGUAGACCAAAAAAUGCCGAUGGAAUUGAACGGACAUAACUGUCAACAAGACCACGCCGGAAACCUCGAAUGAGCUCCACUGACUUAGUUUAAUUUAUCAUUAAUUGUCACAUUCUUUACAACCACAGUUGACA
RNAcentral lists this long non-coding RNA (8220 nucleotides) under Nicotiana tabacum (common tobacco). Its description in RNAcentral is "long non-coding RNA (NTAB_LNC016811)". Lineage: Eukaryota; Viridiplantae; Streptophyta; Magnoliopsida; Solanales; Solanaceae. The record is from RNAcentral.